GACGAACGCUGGCGGCGUGCUUAACACAUGCAAGUCGAACGGAAAGGCCCUUCGGGGUACUCGAGUGGCGAACGGGUGAGUAACACGUGGGUGAUCUGCCCUGCACUUUGGGAUAAGCCUGGGAAACUGGGUCUAAUACCGAAUAGGACCACGCGCUUCAUGGUGUGUGGUGGAAAGCUUUUGCGGUGUGGGAUGGGCCCGCGGCCUAUCAGCUUGUUGGUGGGGUAAUGGCCUACCAAGGCGACGACGGGUAGCCGGCCUGAGAGGGUGACCGGCCACACUGGGACUGAGAUACGGCCCAGACUCCUACGGGAGGCAGCAGUGGGGAAUAUUGCACAAUGGGCGCAAGCCUGAUGCAGCGACGCCGCGUGAGGGAUGACGGCCUUCGGGUUGUAAACCUCUUUCACCAGGGACGUAGCGUAAGUGACGGUACCUGGAGAAGAAGCACCGGCCAACUACGUG
RNAcentral lists this ribosomal RNA (462 nucleotides) under uncultured bacterium. Its description in RNAcentral is "partial 16S ribosomal RNA". It matches the Rfam family "Bacterial small subunit ribosomal RNA", at positions 28 to 507 of the family's 1533-position model. The record is from RNAcentral.